RNAcentral lists this transfer RNA (73 nucleotides) under Venturia inaequalis. It matches the Rfam family "tRNA". Rfam says of the family: Transfer RNA (tRNA) molecules are approximately 80 nucleotides in length. Their secondary structure includes four short double-helical elements and three loops (D, anti-codon, and T loops). Further hydrogen bonds mediate the characteristic L-shaped molecular structure. tRNAs have two regions of fundamental functional importance: the anti-codon, which is responsible for specific mRNA codon recognition, and the 3' end, to which the tRNAs corresponding amino acid is attached (by aminoacyl-tRNA synthetases). tRNAs cope with the degeneracy of the genetic code in two manners: having more than one tRNA (with a specific anti-codon) for a particular amino acid; and 'wobble' base-pairing, i.e. permitting non-standard base-pairing at the 3rd anti-codon position. Lineage: Eukaryota; Fungi; Ascomycota; Dothideomycetes; Venturiales; Venturiaceae. The record is from Rfam by way of RNAcentral.
GCUGGAGUAGUCUAGUGGUUAUGAUGUCGCCUUUACACGGCGAAGGUCGUGGGUUCGAUCCCCAUCUCUAGUA